UACGGGAGGCAGCAGUGGGGAAUAUUGCACAAUGGGCGCAAGCCUGAUGCAGCCAUGCCGCGUGUAUGAAGAAGGCCUUCGGGUUGUAAAGUACUUUCAGUCGUGAGGAAGGUGUUAAGGUUAAUAACCUUAGCAAUUGACGUUAGCGACAGAAGAAGCACCGGCUAACUCCGUGCCAGCAGCCGCGGUAAUACGGAGGGUGCGAGCGUUAAUCGGAAUUACUGGGCGUAAAGGGCACGCAGGCGGUUAAUUAAGUUGGAUGUGAAGUCCCCGGGCUUAACCUGGGAAUGGCAUUCAAGACUGGUUAGCUAGAGUCUUGUAGAGGGGGUAGAAUUCCAUGUGUAGCGGUGAAAUGCGUAGAGAUGUGGAGGAAUACCGGUGGCGAAGGCGGCCCCUGGACAAAGACUGACGCUCAUGUGCGAAAGCGUGGGGAGCGAAACAGGGAUUAGAUACC
RNAcentral lists this ribosomal RNA (454 nucleotides) under uncultured bacterium. RNAcentral describes it as "bacterial SSU rRNA". It matches the Rfam family "Bacterial small subunit ribosomal RNA", at positions 340 to 786 of the family's 1533-position model. The record is from RNAcentral.